RNAcentral lists this transfer RNA (64 nucleotides) under Leiodidae sp. BMNH 1274323. RNAcentral describes it as "tRNA-His". The record is from RNAcentral. Lineage: Eukaryota; Metazoa; Arthropoda; Insecta; Coleoptera; Leiodidae.
AUUUAAAUAGUUUAAUAAAAAUAUUAAUUUGUGGGAUUAAAGUUAUAUUCUUAUAUUUUAAAUA